UUGUUCAUGUGAAGGAAAGAUUGUUGGCAUCUCCCCUGACACAGGAUGGGAAGCUUCUUGUUAUAUUAAUUCAUGCUGUUAAAGCUACCCGCUUACCCAAUUUUUUCU
Small nuclear RNA from Phoenix dactylifera (date palm), 108 nucleotides. NCBI's taxonomy places the organism in Eukaryota, Viridiplantae, Streptophyta, Magnoliopsida, Arecales, Arecaceae. The record is from RefSeq and is a predicted model, not a curated record.